This 283-nucleotide long non-coding RNA is filed under the name Rattus norvegicus (Norway rat). RNAcentral's name for it is "long non-coding RNA NONRATT002438". Lineage: Eukaryota; Metazoa; Chordata; Mammalia; Rodentia; Muridae. The record is from RNAcentral.
UCCAGGCAUGGGGUGAGCUGGAGAAGGCAGAGCAUGAGCGAGAGGCAGCCCUCAGAGCUGAGCUCAUCCGACAGGAGAAGUUGGAACUCUUGGCUCAAAGAUUUGACCACAAGGUGGCCAUGAGGGAGAGCUGGCUAAAUGAGAACCAGCGCCUGGUCUCUCAGGACAACUUCGGAUAUGAGCUGCCGGCAGUGGAGGCAGCCAUGAAGAAGCACGAAGCCAUCGAGGCUGACAUCGCGGCCUACGAGGAGCGGGUUCAGGGUGUGGCGGAGCUAGCCCAGGC